RNAcentral lists this transfer RNA (77 nucleotides) under Ruthenibacterium sp. RNAcentral's name for it is "tRNA-Arg". It matches the Rfam family "tRNA". From Rfam's summary of the family: Transfer RNA (tRNA) molecules are approximately 80 nucleotides in length. The record is from RNAcentral. Lineage: Bacteria; Bacillati; Bacillota; Clostridia; Eubacteriales; Oscillospiraceae. RNAcentral also lists the same sequence under 2 other names.
GCGCCUAUAGCUCAGCAGGAUAGAGCAACUGCCUUCUAAGCAGUGGGUCGGGGGUUCGAGUCCCUUUGGGCGCACCA